Molecule: ribosomal RNA, 325 nt
Filed under: uncultured eukaryote
Lineage: Eukaryota
Description: partial 18S ribosomal RNA
Rfam family: Eukaryotic small subunit ribosomal RNA
Source: RNAcentral
CCCUUAGAUGUCCUGGGCCGCACGCGCGCUACACUGAUGCAUUCAACGAGUUUUACCUUGGCCGAGAGGCCUGGGCAAUCUUUUAAACCUGCAUCGUGAUAGGGAUAGGUUAUUGCAAUUAUUAAUCUUGAACGAGGAAUUCCUAGUAAACGCAAAUCAUCAAUUUGCAUUGAUUACGUCCCUGCCCUUUGUACACACCGCCCGUCGCACCUAUCGAUUGAAUGGUCCGGUGAAGCCUCGGGAUUGUGGCCAGUUCACUUUAUUGGGAGUUGGCUGCGAGAACUUGUCUAAACCUUAUCAUUUAGAGGAAGGUGAAGUCGUAACA